ACGUAGGGUGCGAGCGUUAAUCGGAAUUACUGGGCGUAAAGCGUGCGCAGGCGGUCGUUUAAGCCAGAUGUGAAAUCCCCGAGCUCAACUUGGGAACUGCGUUUGAAACUACAAGACUAGAAUAUGUCAGAGGGGGGUAGAAUUCCACGUGUAGCAGUGAAAUGCGUAGAGAUGUGGAGGAAUAUCAAUGGCGAAGGCAGCCCCCUGGGAUAAUAUUGACGCUCAUGCACGAAAGCGUGGGGAGCAAACAGGA
This 253-nucleotide ribosomal RNA is filed under the name uncultured prokaryote. RNAcentral's name for it is "partial 16S ribosomal RNA". It matches the Rfam family "Bacterial small subunit ribosomal RNA", at positions 525 to 777 of the family's 1533-position model. The record is from RNAcentral.